AUUUACGGUAAUAAAUACUUACGUCACGAGUUGAACGGAAGUGUGAUUACGCACCCAUCUCUUACUUGAAUUUUUUUUUGCCUUAAUCGAUCUCUUACAUAUGCCAAAUUUGGCCAAUAUCAACAUUUGCCAUAGUGUAAGAAUUUUUUAUUAAUGUAUUAUUUAUUGCACAUUGGCUAGCUACAUAAUUGUAACAUAUUUACUUAAUAACAGAGAAUACUGGGCUGGACAAGAUGGCCAGCUGCAAUUUUCAGGCGCAGUUGGUAUCCGUUAUGGAGGUAUUAGCUAAAGCAGCGGUAGCAGAAAUAAACAAACGUGUAGAUGAUAGCUGUGCUGUUAUACGUUUGGAAAUGACCCAAAGCCAGCGAGAUAUUGAUGUACUGAAAAGGAAGUGGCAAAUGAUGGAGAGCGAGUUGAAGAAGACACGAGGACGAGUCAGAAGAAAAGUUUUUUACCCCGUGGCAUCAGAGAGAUCUUCAUAUCCAGUCAAGAUUGUUUUGAACAAGCAGAGGAGUAACUCACAGUGGAGAGAAGAAGAGCUGGCUGUUGAAGAGGACUCUCUACCCCAGCCUACAGAUGUGGAGCAGAGAGUGGAGACUGAACCCAUACUGAUCAAAGAUGAGGAGACAGCAGAGGAUGUGUGGAAGACUGACCCUCAGGAAGAGCUCAGGAUCACUGGAGAGGGUGGGUGUGACCAUAAGGGGCACUGCUCUGUCUGUCUAUGGAAGACUGUGAGGGUGUGGUGGUAUGCACGUUCCAAAUUGCUACAUUGGUGUCGGGUGCUUCAUGUUCUGGCGUAUGGAGUGCACGUACACA
RNAcentral lists this long non-coding RNA (816 nucleotides) under Salmo trutta (river trout). RNAcentral describes it as "lncRNA (ENSSTUG00000003148.1)". The record is from RNAcentral. Lineage: Eukaryota; Metazoa; Chordata; Actinopteri; Salmoniformes; Salmonidae.